GGUGGCUCAGUGAUAGAGCACUUGCCUUGCAUGCAUGAGGCCCUGGGUUCGAUUCCCCAGCACCA
This 65-nucleotide transfer RNA is filed under the name Dipodomys ordii (Ord's kangaroo rat). It matches the Rfam family "tRNA". From Rfam's summary of the family: Transfer RNA (tRNA) molecules are approximately 80 nucleotides in length. Their secondary structure includes four short double-helical elements and three loops (D, anti-codon, and T loops). The record is from Rfam by way of RNAcentral. Lineage: Eukaryota; Metazoa; Chordata; Mammalia; Rodentia; Heteromyidae.